GAUGAACGCUGGCGGCGUGCCUAAUACAUGCAAGUCGAGCGAACAGACGAGGAGCUUGCUCCUCUGACGUUAGCGGCGGACGGGUGAGUAACACGUGGAUAACCUACCUAUAAGACUGGGAUAACUUCGGGAAACCGGAGCUAAUACCGGAUAAUAUAUUGAACCGCAUGGUUCAAUAGUGAAAGACGGUUUUGCUGUCACUUAUAGAUGGAUCCGCGCCGCAUUAGCUAGUUGGUAAGGUAACGGCUUACCAAGGCAACGAUGCGUAGCCGACCUGAGAGGGUGAGAGGCCACCAUGGAACUGUGCCACGGACCAGGCACCUACGGGAGGCAGCAGUGGGGAAUGUUAGGAAAUGGGCGAAAGCUUAACGAAGCAAAGCCGAGGGAGGGAAGAAGGUCUUCGGAUCGUAAAACCAUGUUAGUAGGGAAGAACAAAUGUGUAAGUAACUAUGCACGUCUUGACGGUACCUAAUCAGAAAGCCACGGCUAACUACGUG
Molecule: ribosomal RNA, 497 nt
Filed under: uncultured bacterium
Lineage: Bacteria
Description: partial 16S ribosomal RNA
Rfam family: Bacterial small subunit ribosomal RNA
Source: RNAcentral